GGCGAUCAGAUACCGCCCUAGUUCUAACCGUAAACGAUGACAACCAGCGAUUAAUCGGCGUUAAUAUAUGACCCGAUUAGCAGCUUCCGGGAAACCAAAGUUUUUCGUUUCCGGGGGAAGUAUGGUUGCAAAGCUGAAACUUAAAGGAAUUGACGGAAGGGCACCACCAGGAGUGGAGCCUGCGGCUUAAUUUGACUCAACACGGGAAAACUCACCCGGCCCGGACACCGUAAGGAUUGACAGACUGAGAGCUCUUUCUUAAUUCGGUGGGUGGUGGUGCAUGGCCGUUCUUAGUUGGUGGAGCGAUUUGUCUGGUUAAUUCCGAUAACGAACGAGACUCUGGCCUAUUAAAUAGACGAUGUAUUUAAAAGUAUGUCGUACUUCUUAGAGGGACAAGCGGCGUCUAGCCGCAUGAAAUAGAGCAAUAACAGGUCUGUGAUGCCCUUAGAUGUCCGGGGCUGCACGCGCGCUACACUGAAAGAAUCAGAGUGCGUUAUACCUAGUUCGGAAGAACCGGGUAACCCAAGUAAAUUCUUUCGUGCUUGGGAUAGGGAAUUGCAAUUAUUUCCCUUAAACGAGGAAUUCCCAGUAAAUGCGGGUCAUAAGCUCGCGUUGAUUACGUCCCUGCCCUUUGUA
This 636-nucleotide ribosomal RNA is filed under the name Labronema ferox. RNAcentral describes it as "SSU rRNA". It matches the Rfam family "Eukaryotic small subunit ribosomal RNA", at positions 1003 to 1664 of the family's 1831-position model. The record is from RNAcentral. Lineage: Eukaryota; Metazoa; Nematoda; Enoplea; Dorylaimida; Qudsianematidae.